AACGAACGCUGGCGGCAUGCCUAACACAUGCAAGUCGAACGAAAACUCCGGGUCUAGUGGCGAACGGGUGCGUAACGCGUGGGAACCUGCCCUUAGGUUCGGAAUAACUCCUCGAAAGGGGUGCUAAUAACGGAUAAUGUCUUCGGACCAAAGAGUUAUCGCCUUUGGAUGGGCCCGCGUUGGAUUAGCUAGUUGGUAGGGUAAAAGCCUGCCAAGGCGACGAUCCAUAGCUGGUCUGAGAGGAUGAUCAGCCACACUGGGACUGAGACACGGCCCAGACUCCUGCGGGAGGCAGCAGUGGGGAAUAUUGGACAAUGAGCGAGAGGCUGAGCCAGCGAUGGCGCGUGAGUGAUGAAGGCCUUAGGGUUGUAUAGCUCUUUUACCCGGGAUGAUAAUGACAGUACCGGGAGAAUAAGCUCCGGCUAACUACGUG
Molecule: ribosomal RNA, 433 nt
Filed under: uncultured bacterium
Lineage: Bacteria
Description: partial 16S ribosomal RNA
Rfam family: Bacterial small subunit ribosomal RNA
Source: RNAcentral